GAGUUUGAUCGUGGCUCAGAACGAACGCUGGCGGCAUGCCUAACACAUGCAAGUCGAACGGGAUCCUGGCUUCGGCCAGGUGAGAGUGGCGGACGGGUGAGUAACGCGUGGGAACCUGCCCAGAGGUACGGAAUAACAGUUGGAAACGACUGCUAAUACCGUAUGAGCCCGAGAGGGGAAAGAUUUAUCGCCUUUGGAGGGGCCCGCGUCAGAUUAGGUAGUUGGUGGGGUAAAGGCCUACCAAGCCUACGAUCUGUAGCUGGUCUGAGAGGAUGAUCAGCCACACUGGGACUGAGAUACGGCCCAGACUCCUACGGGAGGCAGCAGUGGGGAAUAUUGGACAAUGGGGGCAACCCUGAUCCAGCAAUGCCGCGUGAGUGAUGAAGGCCUUAGGGUUGUAAAGCUCUUUUGCCAGGGACGAUGAUGACGGUACCUGGAGAAUAAGCCCCGGCUAACUUCGUGCCAGCCGCCGCCGU
This 476-nucleotide ribosomal RNA is filed under the name uncultured Alphaproteobacteria bacterium. RNAcentral's name for it is "bacterial SSU rRNA". It matches the Rfam family "Bacterial small subunit ribosomal RNA", at positions 9 to 521 of the family's 1533-position model. Lineage: Bacteria; Pseudomonadati; Pseudomonadota; Alphaproteobacteria. The record is from RNAcentral.